UCAUGAAAAAAAGAACCGACUCAAAAAAAUUCAUGAAUCAUCGCAAGUUUGUGAUUCUAAAUAAACUACAGGACAAAUGGGACGCACUGCUUGAUUCCUGAAAUAUUAUGAAGAGAAUGUUUAACAGCAUAAUUCCUUGAGACUCACCCGUCCAAUUUCAUUAAAUGGAAAAGAGCAGUCUGGACAUGCACCGCCUCGGAAUAACAUGAUGAAUGGUUACCUGUCCAUUAGUGCUGUUGUACUAUGUCUGCGGCUUUGUCUGCGCCGGUACAGAGGAGGUUCUGCACGCUGAAGGCCAAGCCUGGGACGGACUUCAUUACUAGAAACAGGACUAACAGAUGGUUCAAU
Long non-coding RNA from Onychostoma macrolepis, 348 nucleotides. RefSeq lists it as uncharacterized. The transcript has 3 exons. Lineage: Eukaryota; Metazoa; Chordata; Actinopteri; Cypriniformes; Cyprinidae. The record is from RefSeq and is a predicted model, not a curated record.